UGUACAUUUUUCUUAGAAUAAUCAUGGCUUUUUUUGUGUAAUGCCAGCAUAUAACAAUACAUUCUAUUGGUUUGAAGUAGCUGAUUAUAAUUUGUGUGUUUAGGCAAACAUCGCUGUUUAACAUACCCUACUACCAAACAUAUUUUAGUGGGACAACACAAGUUGGAGAUUGAAGGUGCCUCCUCCGUCUGCAAGAUUUUCCAGGGUCCCAGGUAAACAUUGAUUAAAUGAAUGUUAUAAAUACUACAUUGAAUUUAUAAUGAGCACAUGUGCAUCCAGUGGCCGUAGACGGGAAAAAGUUUGAACUCCUGCCACUGCUUCGUGGAUUCUGUACUUUUUUCAAUGCCUUUGCCAUCCUGGAGAAUUGUCU
Non-coding RNA from Pelobates cultripes (western spadefoot toad), 370 nucleotides. NCBI's taxonomy places the organism in Eukaryota, Metazoa, Chordata, Amphibia, Anura, Pelobatidae. The record is from the annotation of a GenBank genome assembly.